UACGUAGGGGGCAAGCGUUGUUCGGAUUCAUUGGGCGUAAAGCGCACGUAGGCGGAUUGUUAAGUCGGGGGUGAAAUCCUGGAGCUCAACUCCAGAACUGCCUUCGAUACUGGCGAUCUCGAGUUCGGGAGAGGUGAGUGGAACUGCGAGUGUAGAGGUGAAAUUCGUAGAUAUUCGCAAGAACACCGGUGGCGAAGGCGGUUCUCUGGGCAUUACCUGACGCUGAGGAGCGAAAGUGUGGGGAGCGAACAGG
RNAcentral lists this ribosomal RNA (253 nucleotides) under uncultured bacterium. RNAcentral describes it as "partial 16S ribosomal RNA". It matches the Rfam family "Bacterial small subunit ribosomal RNA", at positions 524 to 776 of the family's 1533-position model. The record is from RNAcentral.